CUACGGGUGGCUACAGUGGGGAAUAUUGGACAAUGGGCGAAAGCCUGAUCCAGCAAUGCCGCGUGAGUGAUGAAGGCCUUAGGGUUGUAAAGCUCUUUUACCCGGGAUGAUAAUGACAGUACCGGGAGAAUAAGCUCCGGCUAACUCCGUGCCAGCAGCCGCGGUAAUACGGAGGGAGCUAGCGUUGUUCGGAAUUACUGGGCGUAAAGCGCGCGUAGGCGGCUUUUCAAGUCAGGGGUGAAAUCCCGGGGCUCAACCCCGGAACUGCCCUUGAAACUGGAUGGCUAGAAUACUGGAGAGGUGAGUGGAAUUCCGAGUGUAGAGGUGAAAUUCGUAGAUAUUCGGAAGAACACCAGUGGCGAAGGCGACUCACUGGACAGUUAUUGACGCUGAGGUGCGAAAGCGUGGGGAGCAAACAGGAUUAGAUACCCUCGUAGUC
Molecule: ribosomal RNA, 439 nt
Filed under: uncultured bacterium
Lineage: Bacteria
Description: partial 16S ribosomal RNA
Rfam family: Bacterial small subunit ribosomal RNA
Source: RNAcentral